RNAcentral lists this ribosomal RNA (253 nucleotides) under uncultured prokaryote. RNAcentral describes it as "partial 16S ribosomal RNA". It matches the Rfam family "Bacterial small subunit ribosomal RNA", at positions 525 to 777 of the family's 1533-position model. The record is from RNAcentral.
ACGUAGGAUGCAAGCGUUGUCCGGAAUUAUUGGGCGUAAAGAGCGAGCAGGCGGCAUAUCAAGUUGGACGUGAAAUUUUAGGGCUUAACCCUAAAGGGUCGUCCAAAACUGGUAAGCUAGAGUGCAGGAGAGGAAAGCGGAAUUCCCGGUGUAGCGGUGGAAUGCGCAGAUAUCAGGAGGAACACCGAUGGCGAAGGCAGAUCUCUGGGCCGUAACUGACGCUGAGGAGCGAAAGCAUGGGGAGCGAACAGGA